GCUGGAUGCUGGAGGUGUUGGAGUGGACAUUGUGCUGGAUGCUGGAGGUAUUGGAGUGGACAUUGUGCUGGAUGCUGGAGGUAUUGGAGUGGACAUUGUGCUGGAUGCUGGAGGUAUUGGAGUGGACAUUGUGCUGGAUGCUGGAGGUAUUCCCUGGGGGAGGGCUUCUCCUCACACCACCACUGCCUUGGGCUUCACAGCAUUAUUUUACAGCAUCAUUGGCAAGGAAUGUGGCUGGAAGCUGCACCACUUCAUAGGAUUUUAUUCUUUCACUGUUUUAUCUUUAUUCCAUAGCCCUCCUUGUGUCACCCUCUAGUGGAAGCUGCUGAAUUCAGCUGAAAUCUUCCUCUGUUUAAAAGUGAAAAUAAAAAAAAUGUGUUCAAAG
Long non-coding RNA from Chiroxiphia lanceolata (lance-tailed manakin), 385 nucleotides. RefSeq lists it as uncharacterized. The record is from RefSeq and is a predicted model, not a curated record. The transcript has 2 exons. NCBI's taxonomy places the organism in Eukaryota, Metazoa, Chordata, Aves, Passeriformes, Pipridae.